AACUGUUUUCCUUUGAGGAAUAUUGAUGAUCCCACUGCUUGAGUAAUGGAAACCAGCUUGCAGCUGAUAGUUAUUUUUUGUCUUUUUUCCUGUUCUAUCCAUUGUCCUAGGUUUGGAAUUUCAGCUGGGCAGCUUCGAUCCCACCACCUGUAGCCACUGAGGUUCACAGGCUCUGUUUGAGGUGUUGUGUUCAAUUGUGCUGGGUUGGUUUUGCUGCUUAUUGAGUGAUGAAGAGCAACAUAUUAGCUACUGAGAUAUUUUGCAGAAAAAGGAAGAGAUGUCUUCAGCUCAAAUGCUAUCAAACUUGUGAAAUAAACAGCCUUGUUGCUCACACAAAGCCUGUUUGGUAGCCUCUUCACAUGGACACACGUGACAUUUGGUGCUGAAGACCUGGGACAGGAGGACUCCAGGAGACUGGUCCCCUGUCCUUGCCCUCACUCCAUGAGGAGAUCCACCUACGACCUCGGGUCCUCAGACCAACCAGCCCAAGGAACAUCUCAUGAAUUUCAAAUUGGAUUCCCAGCCAUAUGAAAACACCCUAGCUGGACGAUCAGUUCUUAUUAUGAAUCUGACCUCUCAAACUCUACAACCUCGAUGGACUGGACCCUACUUAG
RNAcentral lists this small RNA (614 nucleotides) under Pongo abelii (Sumatran orangutan). RNAcentral's name for it is "processed transcript". The record is from RNAcentral. Lineage: Eukaryota; Metazoa; Chordata; Mammalia; Primates; Hominidae.